Molecule: non-coding RNA, 150 nt
Organism: Punica granatum (pomegranate)
Lineage: Eukaryota; Viridiplantae; Streptophyta; Magnoliopsida; Myrtales; Lythraceae
Source: RefSeq, a predicted model, not a curated record
GAAGCAUUUAAAAUGGCAAUUCUGCAACCAGGGCCACCGGAAAACUUUGCCCUCCGGAUAGUUCAGGAAGUCAUAAAACCUCAGAAACGAACAAAGUUAGUGCAAGAUGAGAACCAGCUUCUUGAAAAUAUUCUUCGGACGUUACUACAG